Molecule: ribosomal RNA, 253 nt
Filed under: uncultured bacterium
Lineage: Bacteria
Description: partial 16S ribosomal RNA
Rfam family: Bacterial small subunit ribosomal RNA
Source: RNAcentral
UACGAAGGGGGCUAGCGUUGCUCGGAAUCACUGGGCGUAAAGCGCACGUAGGCGGAUUGUUAAGUCAGGGGUGAAAGCCCGAGGCUCAACCUCGGAACUGCAUUCCAUACUGCGGUGCUUGAGGACUGGAGAGGAGACUGGAAUUUACGGUGUAGCAGUGAAAUGCGUAGAGAUCGUAAGGAAGACCAGUGGCGAAGGCGGGUCUCUGGACAGUUCCUGACACUGAGGCACGAAGGCCAGGGGAGCAAACGGG